This 393-nucleotide ribosomal RNA is filed under the name uncultured bacterium. RNAcentral's name for it is "bacterial SSU rRNA". It matches the Rfam family "Bacterial small subunit ribosomal RNA", at positions 28 to 428 of the family's 1533-position model. The record is from RNAcentral.
GACGAACGCUGGCGGCGUGCUUAACACAUGCAAGUCGAGCGGUAAGGCCCUUUCGGGGUACACGAGCGGCGAACGGGUGAGUAACACGUGGGUGACCUGCCCUCAGCUCUGGGAUAAGCCUGGGAAACCGGGUCUAAUACUGGAUAUGACUCCAUGACGCAUGUUGUGGGGUGGAAAGCCUUGUGCGGCUGAGGAUGGGCCCGCGGCCUAUCAGCUUGUUGGUGGGGUGAUGGCCUACCAAGGCGACGACGGGUAGCCGGCCUGAGAGGGCGACCGGCCACACUGGGACUGAGACACGGCCCAGACUCCUACGGGAGGCAGCAGUGGGGAAUCUUGCGCAAUGGGCGAAAGCCUGACGCAGCGACGCCGCGUGAGGGAUGACGGCCUGUGUAA